CAAACAUUUGCAUUAUUAUUACUGUGUCGUCUUCGCAACAUAAUUAUUUUUCGGAACGCCAACUGGCUUUCAGUUUGUAUCUUUUAAAAUCUCUGUUAUAGGCUAUACAGUAUAACUGUUGCAGCACUCGGGUAAGUAGAAAGAGUUUAACGUAAGUGUCCAAAUAUGCCUCCAACACAACUGGCAUGUCAGCAGAUAUAUAAAAAUAUACUAUCAUGACAAAUGUAAAAUCUAAUGAACUAUGUAAAAAUAACUUGCCGGAAGAAUGCAUGUUCAAUAAAGUGGAAUAAUGACAACCGAG
Pelobates cultripes (western spadefoot toad) is the source of this 301-nucleotide non-coding RNA. NCBI's taxonomy places the organism in Eukaryota, Metazoa, Chordata, Amphibia, Anura, Pelobatidae. The record is from the annotation of a GenBank genome assembly.